Regulatory RNA element from Loxodonta africana (African savanna elephant), 45 nucleotides. It matches the Rfam family "Histone 3' UTR stem-loop". From Rfam's summary of the family: The mRNAs of metazoan histone genes lack a poly-A tail. 3' end processing occurs at a site between a highly conserved stem-loop (modelled by this family) and a purine rich region around 20 nts downstream (the histone downstream element, or HDE). The record is from Rfam. NCBI's taxonomy places the organism in Eukaryota, Metazoa, Chordata, Mammalia, Proboscidea, Elephantidae.
CCAAAGGCUCUUUUCAGAGCCACCCACCUAGUCACAAGAAAAGAG